UAGAAACAACGUAUGGUGGAAAUUAUGCGUUGUGGAGGACUGGAAACCUCGUUUUUAACCUAGGUAAAGGAAGAAAGAUAGGGCAGAAAGAGUGGCAUCAUGGGCGAGCUAACGCUAGGCGGGGAUCGUUGUCCCUCGCUAUUCAUCCACCAGUCCAAUUAGGGUUUUAACAGAGGAAUGGCCGCGGCCAUGGCGGCGGUGGCCGCUCCAUCCGCGGCGGUCGCCAGGGCGCUGGAGGGCGACGCGGCGGCAGUGGCGCGAUUUGCAUCGUCAGGUAUUUCGUGGGGGAAUGGGCUGCUCAAGCACAGAGCGGGGGAUUCUCCGCGUUCUUGGCGUGGGAAGAGGUCCGGGAGGAGUGCAUUCUCGGUGUGCUUGCUGCAUGGGCUCGGGGGAUUCUGGGAUUCCUCCGAUUCGGAUUUCUCGGCGAAGAAAACCUACAAUCCAGAGAAGGACAAAGCGUUUCUUCUUAGCAUGGUGGAGCAAAUCGAGCCUCUAGACGUGAGUAGCAUUAGCAAAGACGCGUCGGCUGAUAGCAUGGAUGCGAUGAAGAGGACCAUCUCUGGAAUGCUUGGGCUACUACCGUCGGACCAGUUCAAAGUCACGAUUGAAGCUUACAGAGAACCACUCGCAAAGCUCCUUGUGUCUUCGAUGAUGACUGGGUACACCCUCAGGAAUGCCGAGUACAGGCUCUGCUUGCAAAGAAGUCUACAACUCUCCGAGGAAGACCUUGCGAGCACGUCAGUUGCAAGUGACGUGAAAGAAAAAAAGUCACAAGACUUGGAAGACAGCCGUGCCUGUGAUGCUUCGGACGAGACCGUUGGAGAGGGGAGUUGCAGUGACUCUUCGGUCUCGGAAGAAGUGGAGGCUUUGAACCUGCCUGGGAAUCUGGGGUCCCUAUCACGAGAAGCGCAGGAUUACGUUAGCCAUAUACAGGCAAAAAUGCUAGCGAUGGAGAAGGAGCUCGAGGAUUGCAAACGAGCUAAAACUGCACUGGAGAUGGAGAAGCUUGUCGGGGAUGAAAAGAACGACCUCCUUGACUACUUGAGAUCUCUGGAACCAGACAAGGUUGCCGAGCUCUCGCACCCGGCCUCUAAAGAUGUGGAAGAGGUGAUCCAGAAAGUAAUCGACGGGCUGCUCAAUGGCCUGUGCAAGUCGAGACAAUCAAAGCCACCGCCGCAGCUCAACGGUGGCGGAUCCCCGCCGUCGAGUUCCAUUUCAAGCCCGUGGAACAAGAGCAGCAGCUCGGCCGAGAUGUUUGCGAACAACUUACCCCUGAAGUUCCAGUCGACGGCAACAGCAACCCGCGACUACCUCGCCCGACUCCUCUUCUGGUGCGUAUGUCGUGCUUGUUAACGUGUGAUUUUGCAAGGAGUUUUGUCGAGGCCACCGUGCAGCGUUUGAUACGAAACUGUGAAUACCCAAGGUGUAUGCUCAUGGGGCAUCACAUUCGCGGGCUGGAGUACCGGAUGGAACUGAGCCACGCGCUCGGUUUGACAGGAGCUAGUGUGGAGGAUUGAAAAAAGGAGAUCAAUCAGUCUGUGGCAAACCAGCGAAAACAAAUCAAAGCGAAGAUCAAAGUGAAAGCAAGAGCUCGAGGAAGAACAAGGCUGUAAAUUUAAGCGAAGGUGCUUGUUGUAGAUUACAAACAAAAAUAAUUUUUGCGUUCCUUCACGUU
Selaginella moellendorffii is the source of this 1675-nucleotide RNA transcript. RefSeq lists it as uncharacterized. The transcript is spliced from 6 exons. NCBI's taxonomy places the organism in Eukaryota, Viridiplantae, Streptophyta, Lycopodiopsida, Selaginellales, Selaginellaceae. The record is from RefSeq and is a predicted model, not a curated record.